Long non-coding RNA from Ochlerotatus camptorhynchus, 685 nucleotides. RefSeq lists it as uncharacterized. The record is from RefSeq and is a predicted model, not a curated record. Lineage: Eukaryota; Metazoa; Arthropoda; Insecta; Diptera; Culicidae. The transcript is spliced from 3 exons.
GCUGUCAUAGAGUGGUUGAAAUUUAUAGCAAAAAAGUGUAUAGAAUUUAGACACUUCCAGAGAAAACCAUUUUUCAACACAAGUGUUUAAAUUUUAUUCACUAUUGGUUGAAAAAAAACUUGGCAACAAUCAUUUUUAGAAAACGCGGCAGCCAUCAUUGAUCAACUUUUUCGCAGAGUUCGGUGAGAACUACCAGAAGAAGCCAUCAACGUCGCCAGCAGUGGGAAUCAGGAAUUGCUACUUCCUUCGCAAUCGAGUGGCGGACCGAAAAUGAAGUUUUUUCCGUUUCCGACUUUGGAGAGAUGGAAACAACUUUCAAUGGAAAAGCAAUCACUAAAAUGACCUUUCCCAACAUGAUUUCCGGUUCAUUACAGUCUUUCCCAAGCAACUGAAUCAGACUAAAUCGUCCUCCUUCCAGCAGGCUGAAACGGCUUUACUACAUCAUCGACAUGGCAAGGUAUCAUCGCAGAUGGACCACUGGCGGAGCACCGACCGAUACAAUCAACAAGACUUCGUCUACACGCUAACUUGAAAGUACUCAUUAAUGAGUAAAAAAGACCCAUUUUGAAGAAAAGUGGCUUAACUCAUUAAUGAUUAAACAAUUUUACCCAUUAAUGAGUAUCUGUUACCCAUUAAUGAUUAACAAUUACUCAUUAAUGGGUAACAGAUACUCAUUAAUGGGUAA